GGCAGUGGAGACAGGUGGUGCAUGGUUGUCGUCAGCUCGUGUCGUGAGAUGUUGGGUUAAGUCCCGCAACGAGCGCAACCCUUACCUUCAGUAGCCAGCACAUAAUGGUGGGCACUCUGGAGGGACUGCCGGGGACAACCCGGAGGAAGGUGGGGACGACGUCAAAUCAUCAUGCCCCUUAUGGCCUGGGCUACACACGUGCUACAAUGGCGUAAACAGAGGGAGGCAGCCCCGCGAGGGUGAGCAAACCCCAAAAAUAACGUCCCAGUUCGGAUUGCAGUCUGCAACUCGACUGCAUGAAGCUGGAAUCGCUAGUAAUCGCGGAUCAGAAUGCCGCGGUGAAUACGUUCCCGGGUCUUGUACACACCGCCCGUCACACCAUGGGAGUUGGUAACGCCCGAAGUCAGUGACCUAACCGAAAGGGAGGAGCUGCCGAAGGUGGGACCAGUGACUGGGGUGAAGUCGUAACAAGGUAGCCGUAUCGGAAGGUGCGGCUGGAUCACCUC
RNAcentral lists this ribosomal RNA (506 nucleotides) under uncultured bacterium. RNAcentral's name for it is "bacterial SSU rRNA". It matches the Rfam family "Bacterial small subunit ribosomal RNA", at positions 1024 to 1529 of the family's 1533-position model. The record is from RNAcentral.